UGGGCUGAUGUCCCUCCAACGGACCAGUAUGGCUUGAAGGGAGGUUCGGUGUGUCUGGCUGUUGCAGAACCACCUGAGGAACUUAAAGGAUUUAGCUGGAAGGUCAAUAGUACUGUAAUAGUUGAUGAUAAAGAGAUCUCUCCUAAAUACAAGGAGAAGGUGGAUUAUAACCCAGUGAACCAAACACUGUGCAUUAAGAAUCUGACGGACACAGACAGUGGAAUUUACAUUGCAAAUGCAAAGAAAAUAGAUUGGACAGAUUCAACGUCUUCAUACAGGCUUAAGGUGUUGGAAGCUGUUCCCAUUCCAGCCAUGCAGGUGACCUACUACAACUCAAGUACAGGACUUUGUAACAUCACAGUGAAUUGUUCAGGCUGGAAGUUUUCUGUCUGUGAUGGAGGUCAGUGCCCACUGUACCAGGAUUCUCUGUCAGUCUCUGAGGUCAACAUCACCGUCUCCAGUGGUAAUGGAUUCAUCCAGUGUAUCGUCAACAAUCACGUCAGUGCAGAGACCAAAUCACAACGCAUGAAGGACAUAUGUAUUGGUGAGAAGAAGGGGAUCGCUGCAGCAUCACUAGUUGGCAUCAUUGUGUUCAUUGUUACUGGUGGAUUAUUCUUAGUUGGUGUAGGAUGCAUCAUAUCAACCAGAAGAAGGCGAUCCCCUAAAGAAAUACUGCUAC
Molecule: non-coding RNA, 679 nt
Organism: Salvelinus sp. IW2-2015
Lineage: Eukaryota; Metazoa; Chordata; Actinopteri; Salmoniformes; Salmonidae
Source: RefSeq, a predicted model, not a curated record